GGAAGGAUCAUUACUGAGUAUCUUUGCCUUUAGGCAAACCUCUCUAUCCAUAAACUCUUUUUUAUAAAGACAUGAUUUUAUUAUACUAGUCUGAAUGAUUUAUCAAGAAUCUUUUAAAACUUUCAACAACGGAUCUCUUGUUCUCGCAUCGAUGAAGAACGCAGCAAAAUGCGAUAAGUAUUGUGAAUUGCAGAAUUUUGUGAAUCAUCGAAUUUUUGAACGCACAUUGCACCUUCUGGUAUUCCGGAGGGUAUACCUGUUUGAGCGUCAUUUAUAUACUCAAAACUUUAUUGUUUUUGGUUAUGGGCAUCUAUUCUUGAUUGAAUUUGCCUGAAAUACAACGUAGAGUGGUCACUGGGAAGACAGGUUUAACCAAUGCUAUUAAAUUUAUCGUUGGGCAGGUCUGUUCUUUAGGUGACUAUGCUUCCUUAACGUCCUUGCGGACAACAUUUCUUAAAUUUUGACCUCAAAUCAGGCAGGAGUACCCGCUGAACUUAAGCAUAUCAAUAAGCGGAGGAAAAGAAACCAACAGGGAUUGCCUUAGUAACUGCGAGUGAAGCGGCAAGAGCUCAAAUUUGAAAUCUGGCACCUUCGUGUCCGAGUUGUAAUUUGUAGAAGCAUCUUUUGGGCUGGUCCUUGCACAUGUUCCUUGGAACAGGACAUCAUAGAGGGUGAGAAUCCCGUACAUGGUGGGGAGUCCAGUCCUUGUUAAAGUGCUUUCGAAGAGUCGAGUUGUUUGGGAAUGCAGCUCUAAGUGGGUGGUAAAUUCCAUCUAAAGCUAAAUAUUGGCGAGAGACCGAUAGCGAACAAGUACAGUGAUGGAAAGAUGAAAAGAACUCCGAAAGGAGAGUGAAAAGGACGUGAAAAUUGUUGAAAGGGAAGUGCUUGAGAUCAGUCUUAGGAUUCAGUGAUCAAUCUUCCUUUUGGUUGGUGCACUCACUGUUUUCUAGGCCAACAUCAGUUUUCGCGGCAGGAUAAUGUCCCAGGAAUGUGGCUCCCUCGGGAGUGUUAUAGCCUGGGUUGAUACUGCCAGCUUAGACUGAGGUCUGCGCUUUUUGCUAGGAUGUUGGCAUAAUGAUCUUAAUCAGCCCGUCUUGAAACACGGGGACCAAGGAGUCUAACAACUAUGCAAGUGUUUGGGUGUAAAACCCGUACGCGUAAUGAAGUGAACGUAGAUGGGAACCUUUUGGUGCACCAUCGACCGAUCCUGAUGUCUUCGGAUGGGAUUUGAGUAAGAGCAUAGCUGUUGGGACCCGAAAGAUGGUGAACUAUGCCUGAAUAGGGUGAAGCCAGAGGAAACUCUGGUGGAGGCUCGUAGCGAUUCUGACGUGCAAAUCGAUCGUCAAAUUUGGGUAUAGGGGCGAAAGGACUAAUCGAACCAUCUAGUAGCUGGUUCCUGCC
This 1401-nucleotide unclassified non-coding RNA is filed under the name uncultured fungus. Its description in RNAcentral is "sequence contains 18S rRNA gene, ITS1, 5.8S rRNA gene, ITS2, 28S rRNA gene". The stretch from base 462 to 1401 matches the Rfam family "Eukaryotic large subunit ribosomal RNA", at positions 1 to 962 of the family's 3401-position model. The record is from RNAcentral. Lineage: Eukaryota; Fungi.